GUUUCUUUUGGAACUUUCUCCUCUUGCUUUUUUUGGUUAAUUUGUCUUGGUGCUAUCUGAAUGUGUGAUUUUCUUUUUAGUCGUCAAACAUUUUAAAGAUAUUUGCACUAAUGGUAUCUGCAUUUUGCAUUUUAGGUCUUGGAAGCAAUGACCACAAAGUCAUGCAAGGAGAACUUUCAUUACGAGUCUCUGGAGACUCUAGGAGAUUCUUUUUUAAAAUAUGCUGUUAGUCAGCAGCUUUUUAAUAUGUAUGAAAAUCAUCACGAGGGUCUUCUUAGUGUGAAGAGGGAGAAGAUUAUUUGUAACGCUGCCCUCUGUAAGUUAGGUUGCAGUUCUAAACUUCCGGUAUUCUUUCUCUCCCUCUCUUUUUUAAUAGAUUAGUCUUUAAUCUUGUAUGCUUACAUCUCUUAUGAUGCUAUCUUUCAACUGAUUUCUUAAUUAGUUUAUAUUGUGUUUUAGAAGUUUGCAGAAGAUUAUAGUUAUUAUAAUUCUGAUCCUAUAAUAUGCUUCUAAUUUGGCUGAUUAUUAUGCGGGUAUCGUUUUUUUUUUUAUUUUAGUUUUUUGCUUUCUCGAAACACUGAAGAUCAAAACGAAAAGUGUACAAUAUUCACUAUUUACCGUAAUAAGUAUAAUGUUCUCAAUUCUUCAAAAAAACAAAGUAUUAUGCUCUCAAAACUGUAAUGCUUAUAAAUAUUGAUUAUGUUGUAUUGUUUGGCUUUUCAUUUUGCGUUAUUAUUUUGAAACUGUAAUUGCAGAUAAUAUAUUAAUUUUGUUGUUGAUUAUCUAUUCUUCUGAGUUGCAGGGCUUCAUACGGAAUGAGCCUUUUGAUCCAAAGACCUGGAUCAUUCCUGGAGUUAAAUCAAGAUGUUUUAAAUUAGAAGAGACAGUUUUCAAGGGGACAAAAAUAUAUACUCGAGGGAAUAGAAAAUUGAAACGGAAAGUUGUUGCUGAUGUUGUUGAAGCACUAAUUGGGGCAUUCCUUAGCGCUGGUGGUGAGAUGGCUGCAUUGUUGUUUAUGGAUUGGGUUGGCAUCAAAGUGAAUUUGAAUAUUACACCCUAUGAGAGGCAAAUCAAUUCUUGUCCAGACAAUCUUCUUAAUGUCAGCUAUCUAGAAUCCCUCUUGAAGUACUCGUUUAGGGACCGUUCCCUGUUAGUAGAAGCUAUGACACACGGUUCUUACAUGCUGCCUGACGUGCCUAGAUGCUAUCAGGUACUUACUGUUGGUAUUAUUCUUGUUACAUGUGUUUUGCUUUUGCCUAAUUUUUCAAAUAAUAUAUUCCUUUCCCUGCAGAGACUUGAAUACUUAGGAGACUCGGUGUUGGAUUAUCUCAUUACUACACAUUUGUAUAAUGAAUAUCCUGGCAUGACACCUGGGCAGUUAACUGAUAUGCGGUCAGCUUCUGUGAAUAACGAAUGUUAAGCAAUGUCUGCCAUAAAGGUUCAACUGCAUAAACAUGUACUCCAUGCCUCUCAGGAGUUACAUAAACAUAUUGCAGCUACCCUUGAUAAAUUUGACGAACAGUCUGCAUCACAAACUUUUGGAUGGGAGUCUGAGGCUUCAUUCCCCAAGGUUAGUUUGUCGAAAUCUUGGAAUAACGCUAUUACUGUCAUAGUAGUGUUUGAGUAGAGAAAACUCUAAUAUUGUUAGUGCAUUUUUUCAUGUUGUGAAUCUGAUGAUCUAAAAUUGUUCCUAUUGUUUGCAGGUACUUGGAGACAUCAUAGAGUCUCUAGCUGGUGCUAUACUUGUUGAUUCAGGAUACAACAAGGAGGUUGUGUGGCAAAGCAUAAGGCCUCUUUUGGAACCCCUUGUGACACCUGAUACAUUAACGAUCCAUCCGAUCAGAGAAUUAACAGAACUGUGCCAGAAAAUGGAUUAUACUAUGGAGAAGGACUUGUCCAGGAACGACGGCUUUAUUAGCUGUAGAAUUGAGGUAAAUGCAGAUGGUGUAAUUCAUCAAUACGAGUACAAAGGUUCUACCGACAAGAAAACAGCUACAAGACUAGCCUGCAAGGGAGUUUUGAAUUCCUUGCAGUUGAAGGAAACACUAGACCAGUGAUAUACUUGACUUGUGGAAUUGUAAAAACACAGGGCUGUAAUUUUUUAGCUGUGGUAUUAGGCUUUCUCCUUUCUAUGUGCAUCUUCUCUUUUUGUGCUGACAUUGUGAUUGUGAAUACAUGUUGAAUCAAUUUUAAUUUGGACUUGCAGAAAUUAUAAUGAGUUUGAGAUUCAGUUGUUUGAUAAGAAAAUAAAUUUUUCAAUUCAGUAUAUUACCAUAGAUUCAUGAACUAGAUCCAUAAUAUUAUAUUAACGCAACAUGGGUGUGGUGAAGGUGGGGAGGCGUGGAAGUAGAGGAGGAGGUUGUUUGCUUGGAAGGAGGACCUUUUUAGGUGUUGUUGUUUUUUGCUUCAUAAUGUUGUUUUGCAGGAAAGUGUAGUUGACCGUUGGAAGUGGUCUCUUGAUCCAGUUAAAGGCUACUCUAUCGGCGAUGCAUAUCAGAUGUUCACAGCAACAGACCAAAAUCCUAACAGGGCUAACAUGUAUACCAUAUGUCAUAAACAACUUCCUCUCAAGGUCUCUUUAUUUGUGUGGUGUCUCUUUCACAAUUGUCUCCCAACAAAAGAUAAUCUCUUAAGGCGAGGCAUUGUUCACCCAGAUGCUACCAAUUGUGUAGGAGGAUUUGCUCUUCCGGAGACUGCGGAUCACCUAUUCAUCACUUGCAGUCAUUUCAGCCAGUUAUGGGUGCUUGUUCGAAGUUGGCUCGGUUUCUCUUCGGUUGAUACUUUCCGUGCUUUCGAUCAUGUUGUGCAGUUCGGCCAGCUUGGUGGGUUUCCUCGUUCCUCUCACCAUUUUUUGAAACUUAUUUGGUUCUCUUGUGUCUGGACAAUUUGGAAGGAAAGAAACAAUUGAGUCUUCAACAGCCAAGCUUUGGUGUUACAUCAGUUGCUCUACAAAGUUAAAUUAUUGUCUUUUUUGUGGCUUAAGGCAAAAAAUGCCACACUUUUGUUACUCUUAUUAUUGUCUACUUGUUGAUGAUUAAAAUAAAGGAUUAGAGUUACUUAUUGUUUUUGGUACUUGUAGUAAGAGUAAAGGACCGUUGUGGUUCUGGAUGAGGUGAUAAAUAUAAUCAACGGAUAUAAGUGAGGUAAUUAUCUACAAUUCGAAGUGGUGUAUCCGUAAGCAAUGAAUUAAGCUUAGACGGGUAAUGAGUUCUACCAAAGAACAAAUUAUUUAGGAGAACAUGGAUUCGUUUCAUGGAUGGCACAAUUCUUAACAUACUAUAUUUACCUUACGGCCGAACUCUGGAUUACAAGGCUCAUUUCCCUUAAAAGAUGGAUGGUUAACACCUAAAAAAAGUUGUUAGACUAAAUAGAUUUAGCUCGACCAAAAAGUUCAAUUUUAAGAUCUGAAGACUAUUUUCGCGAGUGUGAUAAAAUUGAGAGACAAUGCAAUUCCGUAUUCAAUUAGGAUUUUAAAGAAUUUUAAAAGGCUUUUUAUAAGUCCUUGAAAAUAAACUUGUUUUGAGAUAUUCAAUUAAGACUCUUUGUAACUUAAUAAAAUUUUCAAUUUAGUACAUGUAUUCAAGAGUUUUUGGUGCAGUAUGUUCUUGAUGAACUAAAGAGGAGAGUGUAAUUUGAGUAGACGAUAAAAAAUUAUUAUGGGUAAGAUCCUCUUUACUCUAUAACGAGAUCGAAUACAAUGUGUUGAAGAAUACAAUAUCAAAGAUUUCAUAGGAAAGAUUCCAGAAUGUUACCAUACGAAAUUAUAUGUGGAACAUAUCUAUUAUAAAUUAAUGGUUUUAACCUUAUAAUAAACAGAUCCAGAAUAUAUUAUCAACUCAACAUAUGCAUUCAAAAGUUUGAUCAAAACAAGGAAAAUAGUAGCUUUUAUGCAUUCAACAGUGUGAUCAAAACAAGGAACAUAAUAGCUUUUAAUUUGCGAAAAUAUGGCUACUAUAUAUCUAAUAUCUAACUAAUUAGAUUUCCACGACAAUUCUAAGAUGCAAAGUGAACCGACGAGCAUCGGAAGGUCCAACUCCAAUAGCAAGAUCAGAACCAAAUAAUCUCUCAUCGAAAUUGAACAAUUCAUGAACUUCUGACACGAGCUUCAGUGCUAGUUGCUCGAGUGAAUCAGAGGGAAAGUCUUGGUGGAACAAGAUAGACCGAAACCAAUCUUUACCCUCUCGAAAGAACCUUUUGCUGCUAACUUCUUGAUAAUUGUUGAGUAAGGUGUUAAGACAUGUAACUGAGUUAGAAUCAACUGAAUGCGAGAGAACAUCGAUAUGAAAAUUUAACCAAUCGGUGGGCAUGAGCUUGGGGCGCUGCACCUCUAGAUUGUAAUUCAUGCUUCGAAGAUAUUCAUAUUGCUCUUGAUAUUGUGCAGAUAAUCCAUAAUAGCAACUUGCUGGUUCUAAACAUUGUGAAUAAAAAAUAAGACUGUAAGUCAUGUGUAUAUGUAUGAUGAAUUAAUAUACUAACUUUCUUAAAAUUCUAUUUCUUAUAUUCAUACCUGAUUGUGUAGAGAAGGAGGAAGACAUGAUCGUUUCUUUUUCUUCUGAACGCUGAAACUUCUUUAUCUCGUUGAAUUUUUUUUUGUGUGCACUUUUUCUUAUGGUUGCAAGCCAAUUUAUAGAUAAUGAGGUUAGGGUUUCUUUUUAAGGUUGCUUUAUGGACAAGAAAGUAAUUUGUUGAGAUUUUUUCGGCUACAAUAAUUAUUUAGAUUUGGAUUUAAUACAUCUUUCGUAUGAUCAAUCCUAAAAAAAACCAUUCAAAGAUCCAACCGUCCAAGUCAUCAACCCACACCUAAACCAAAUCACCCAAUCAAAUCACAGAAACUAAAUCAUAUAUAUAUAUAUAUAUGUCUAUUUUUUUUUCCUUUUAUCAUUUAAAAAAUGUAACAAACUAAAUGAGUAUAUAUUUAUACUUACUUUUUCAUUAUCCCAAUUAUACUUUUAAACAACUUUUUCUAUAAUAAAGAUCGUUGUUGGUGUCAUUAUCCCAAUUAUAUAUAUUUUUUUAUAUUGUUGGUGUCAAUAAAAUAAACAAUUAUGAUUAGUUUGGUUUAUUAUAACUUGAAAGCAGCAAACAUUUAUAUUUUUAAUUUUAAUCCAAAUCAAAAUUUCAUAAAAAAAAAAAAAAAAAAAAAACAUCGUUAAUAAUUUUCAAAGGUAAGUGAAAUAAAAAGAGCGGAAAGUCGGACACGUGAGUGCCUGUCCACUAAUAUAUAUAUAUAUAUAUAAACAAAACACAGCUGAGACAAAAAUCUCAUUCUUCAUCACUUCCAAUCCUUCAAAAAUGGCAAAAGCCGUAGAGAAAAAAGUAGCUGAGAAGAGACCAACGAAGAAGAAGGACACAGAGAAGAAAAUCCCAAAGGAAGGAGAAACAUGGAAAAAGAGAUCAAAGAAAAGCAUUGAAACCUACAAGAUAUAUAUAUUCAAGGUUCUCAAACAAGUUCAUCCUGCCAUUGGUGUUUCAAGUAAAGCUAUGGGAGUUAUUAACAGUUUCGUGAACGAUAUCUUUAAGAAACUCGCUCAAGAACUGUUGAGACUCGUGCGUUAUUAUAUAGAUACGAAUUUUAACAUAUAAGAUGUCAGGGAUGGCCUCAAGUUAUAGAGAAUGUGGGCAUUGGCCGUCACUAUCUUUUGGAGAAAAAAUUGAAUAGCAUUUGUAUUAUUUUUAACUCAAAUAAUGAUCUUUGUAAUAUAUAUAUAUAUAUAUAUAUAUAUAUAUAUAUAUAUAUAUGUGUGUGUGUAAUACUAAUAAUAUAGGUAUUUUGAUUAAUAUUAUAUAUGGUCAUGUAAACAAGUGCUCUAAGGGUGUUAUUUAAGGAUUUCAUAAAAAUAAAUUUUGUUUUGAAAAUACUUAGUAAUAUUUAAAAAAAAAUAUAUGCAAAAGUUACCACUUUUGAUUGUUUAAAAAAUUUCUUAAAGGUGUUUGUUAGUAUUUUCUUAUUUUAUGUACAUAACAAUCUUUUCUAUAACAUUAGUGGAGACAAGAAAAUAUGUUGUUCACUCAUUGAUAUAUUUCCUUUUAGAGUUUUCUGUGUGUGUAUGUGUGACAACUAUAAUUGUUGAAAGAGUUUUCUCCACAAUGAAUAUUAUUAAAAACUGAACGCGGAAUCACAAGAGAAUAAUUAUGAAGUAUAUUUUUUUGGAAAGAAUUAUGAUGUAUAUUUAUAUUUUCAAAAUUAAAGUAGUGUGUGUGUUUGCGCACGCGUGUGGGUGGAUGGGUGUGUGCGUACGUGCGUGUGUGUGUGUGUUGCCCUCACUACUCAAGACUUUUGGGUUCGUCCCUGAGUUAAGUAUGCCUCCCUUUUCAACCUACACAUUCAUUUGGAGCUUAACAUAUGUACUCCAAUGUAGAUUCCCUCGCCCCACAUUUUGUGACAAUUAUACAUUUCAAAGCAUCAAUCCCUUGUUGUAAUCCUAACCAAGUCAAUAUAACUCGAUUUAAAAAUAAAACAAGGCAAAAUUGUAGCCAUUUCACGUGUAGAAACUCUUCCAUAAGCACAAGCAUUCAGAGAAGCAUCCAACAAAAAGGGAACGACUUCCAGGAUAUCAAAGGCAGACACUUUUAGUUUCACUAAAGCAUUAUCCAAUCAAGACCCGAAACUAGAAGAGAUGAUGCUUCCUAAGGUCAUAGGUGUCAAAGGCUCAGAAGCAACAUUUACCUUCCUAAACAUCAUCCUUAGUAAAGCAUCAACAAUCUGUUGAACAGGCCCUCCAGGCAUAAGACCAGAGUGGGUCGAAGCAAUGCGUUCUUGAUGUUGUCAAUGCCAAAAGUUUAGUUUUGGAAAGGAAUCCAUAUAUACAUAUUCUUUAGGAAAGCAUAAUAUUUUUGACAAUUUUUUGAGCUUUAGACUAUCCUUUGCUGAUCUUCCAAAUGAUGCAACUCUACCGUUUCGAACCAAUAAAAGGUUUUCAGGACUAAAUAGAUUUCCAAGUGGUGGAGUUGCUGGAUUUCCCCUUACUUAUUCAAUGGGUAAGUGAUCAAACCGUCAGAAUCUAAGCAAAAGAGUAAAUGCAUUAGAGAACACCUCAUGUGGAGAGAGUUUUCCUCUGGUUGCGACAGUCCAUGAGACAUCAGAAACGCAUGAGCAAAAAAUCUCUUAUAUUUGCAUUAGCCCUACCGCAAGUAAUGGAACUUGAAAUGAAAAACAACAACAUGUAUCAGCAUCAGAAACACAAGUAGGGACGGCCCCAAGUUAUAGAGAUUGUGGCCAUUGGCCGUCACUAUUUUUUGGAGAAAAAAUUGAAUUGUAUUAUUUUUAACUCAAAUAAUGAUCUUUGUAAUAUAUAUAUAUAUAUAUAUAUAUAUAUAUAUAUAUAUAUAUAUAUAUANNNNNNNNNNNNNNNNNNNNNNNNNNNNNNNNNNNNNNNNNNNNNNNNNNNNNNNNNNNNNNNNNNNNNNNNNNNNNNNNNNNNNNNNNNNNNNNNNNNNNNNNNNNNNNNNNNNNNNNNNNNNNNNNNNNNNNNNNNNNNNNNNNNNNNNNNNNNNNNNNNNNNNNNNNNNNNNNNNNNNNNNNNNNNNNNNNNNNNNNNNNNNNNNNNNNNNNNNNNNNNNNNNNNNNNNNNNNNNNNNNNNNNNNNNNNNNNNNNNNNNNNNNNNNNNNNNNNNNNNNNNNNNNNNNNNNNNNNNNNNNNNNNNNNNNNNNNNNNNNNNNNNNNNNNNNNNNNNNNNNNNNNNNNNNNNNNNNNNNNNNNNNNNNNNNNNNNNNNNNNNNNNNNNNNNNNNNNNNNNNNNNNNNNNNNNNNNNNNNNNNNNNNNNNNNNNNNNNNNNNNNNNNNNNNNNNNNNNGUGUGUGUGUUGCCCUCACUACUCAAGACUUUUGGGUUCGUCCCUGAGUUAAGUAUGCCUCCCUUUUCAACCUACACAUUCAUUUGGAGCUUAACAUAUGUACUCCAAUGUAGAUUCCCUCGCCCCACAUUUUGUGACAAUUAUACAUUUCAAAGCAUCAAUCCCUUGUUGUAAUCCUAACCAAGUCAAUAUAACUCGAUUUAAAAAUAAAACAAGGCAAAAUUGUAGCCAUUUCACGUGUAGAAACUCUUCCAUAAGCACAAGCAUUCAGAGAAGCAUCCAACAUAAAGGGAACGCCUUCCAGGAUAUCUAAGGCAGACACUUUUAGUUUCACUAAAGCAUUAUCCAAUCUAGACCCGGAACUAGAAGAGAUGAUGCUUCCUAAGGUCAUAGGUGUCAAAGGCUCAGAAGCAACAUUUACCUUCCUAAACAUCAUCCUUAGUAAAGCAUCAACAAUCUGUUGAACAGGCCCUCCAGGCAUAAGACCAGAGUGGGUCGAAGCAAUGCGUUCUUGAUGUUGUCAAUGCCAAAAGUUUAGUUUUGGAAAGGAAUCCAUAUAUACAUAUUCUUUAGGAAAGCAUAAUAUUUUUGACAAUUUUUUGAGCUUUAGACUAUCCUUUGCUGAUCUUCCAAAUGAUGCAACUCUACCGUUUCGAACCAAUAAAAGGUUUUCAGGACUAAAUAGAUUUCCAAGUGGUGGAGUUGCUGGAUUUCCCCUUACUUAUUCAAUGGGUAAGUGAUCAAACCGUCAGAAUCUAAGCAAAAGAGUAAAUGCAUUAGAGAACACCUCAUGUGGAGAGAGUUUUCCUCUGGUUGCGACAGUCCAUGAGACAUCAGAAACGCAUGAGCAAAAAAUCUCUUAUAUUUGCAUUAGCCCUACCGCAAGUAAUGGAACUUGAAAUGAAAAACAACAACAUGUAUCAGCAUCAGAAACACAAGUAGGGACGGCCCCAAGUUAUAGAGAUUGUGGCCAUUGGCCGUCACUAUUUUUUGGAGAAAAAAUUGAAUUGUAUUAUUUUUAACUCAAAUAAUGAUCUUUGUAAUAUAUAUAUAUAUAUAUAUAUAUAUAUAUAUAUAUAUAUAUAUAUAUAUACACUAUUAAUAAUGUAGAUAUUUUUGUCAAUAUUAUAUAUGGUCAUGUAAACAAGUGUUUUAAGGGUGUUAUUUAAGGAUUUCAUAAAAAUAAAUUUUGUUUUGAAAAUACUUAGUAAUAUUACAAAAAAAUUUAGUUUCCACUGUUGAUUGCUUAAAAAAUGUCCUAAAGACGCUUGUUAGCAUUUUCUUAUUUUAUAUACAUAACAAUAUUUCUAUAACGUUAGUGGAGACAAGGAAAUAUGUUGUUCACUCAUUGAUAUAUUUCCUUUUAGAGUUCUUAAUAUAUAUAUAUAUAUAUAUGUGUGUGUGUGUGUGACAACUAUAAUUGUUGAAAGAGUUUUCUCCACAAUGAAUAUUAUUAAGAACUGAAUGCAGAAUGCCAAGAGAACAAUUAUGAAAUAUUUUUUUUUUUGGAAAGAAUUAUGAUGUAAAUUUAUGUUUUCAAAAUUAAAGUAGUGGGUGGGUGGGCGGAUGGGUGCAUACGUGCGUGCGUGUGUUGCCUUCACUGCUCAGGACUUUUGGAUCCGUCCCUGUAAGAUGUUGUUCCAUUUGUCUCAACGAACAUUUUCAAAAUAUCAAAUGUUGCUAAGCAUGCUUUUCAUUUGGAUUUAUUAUAAAAAAUUAAAAAUAUUAAUAAUUAAAAUUGUGUAUUGACGUUGACUUUGACAUGUAUUUAAGAAUGGAUAGAGUAACAUUUUGUUUUUGCAAAUUAAAUCAUUUGAUGAAAUUCUUAAAAAGAGUUGGUGUCAAAGCUUAUUCAAUUUUAUAUGAAGGAAAGACUCACGCAGAUGAUGCAAGUAAUUGACCAUUCUGCUUUUCCUUUUGACUGCAGAGAUUCAGAAAUAGUUUUUGAGUAUAUGCUUCUUUUUAACAUUCAUUGACCACCCUUGUCAAUUUUAUCUUACACCUUUGAAGUUUACACUAUUACAUGUUGUUAAUGGAAGCUCAUGAUAAAUGAUGGAUCUAAAAAUUUGAAUUAGUGGGGGCACAAUAACAUAAAAAAUUAUUAUUAUUAAUGCAUAAAUUAAACAACAAUUUGAAGAUUAUAAAUUUAUAGUAUAAUAUACCCAAAAAUUGAAGAUACCUCAACAUCUACAAAAAUAUAUUUCAUUUUAACACUAUAAAAAAUAUAUUUCUCUAUGCAUGUGAUCAAAUAAAUAUUAGUGUGGGGGCAUCCCUUAAUUCCAUUGGGUGCAUCACUUAAUUUUUAAUAGAAAACAUAUAAAAUAUUUUAAAAAGUAAUACUCAAAUAAAAAUUUGGUGUGGUGCCAAUUGCCCGCAAUACCUCUAACGUGGAUCUUUGUGCUUGCUUAUGAUAUCAUCUUUUCAAUGUGAAGUUAGGUGAACAUGACAUGUUACUUAAUGUUAAAGGCAUGAUCGAUUUUGAAAAAAGUUCAUCUUUGAAAACACCAUAAAUAGAUUUUUGGCAUUUUUCAAAUUUCUAAAAAUACGCACAUGUAAUCCAAAAAUGCAUUUUAUAAAAUAUCAUAAAAUAUAUUAUUUAAUUUUUGUUGAGUGGAAAAUGUAUUAUUAAUUAAUGUUUAUUAUUUUAAUUGCAAUGAAAAUGAAACAGGAAUACAUGAUCCAUUGAGGGAUGGAAAAGAUGAUAUGUUUGAUGAAGGCAAGUGAGAAGGAAAGGCAACAACGUUACGGGGCAAAAUAAGGAAAAAGUGAGUGACGUCACUUGUAGCAAUAGGAACGAUUCCUCUAAAAAAAUUAAAGUUAGACACACGACUGCAACGUGAAACAAUGUGGACAACCAAACAUCACCAACAUGAGUUUGAUGACUUUAAACCCAAGCUAGAGGGAUCCACCGCAAAACCAAACACAUGCUUAUAAUAUAUGUUGCACUUAUUAAUAUUUUUGUUUUACCCUAUAUACUAUACUACGAUCUCAAGACUCUGUUCAUUUGUUUGUUUGAUUAGGACUUAGGAGAGAAGCAUGGAAGCAUCAAAAGCAAGAUUAAUCAUCUACCUCUUAUUAUUGAGAUUAGAGAUGACAUCGAGUAUUCUUAAGUAGGAAUAAGAUAUUAUAGUAUUCAUCUUCAUACUCACGUUUAUAAAAUAAGUUUGUAUCUAAGUUUAUAUUUUCGUGGACAAUAAAUUUGAUAUUCGUCUCCGUACUACUUUUUGGGCACCUAAAUCUUUGUAUCUAUGUUCAUUACCCGCACUUUCACAACAAAAACACAAUAAAUAACAAAAAAAAAAAAAAACAAUCAUAACAUAACUAAAUAUGAUUUAAAACUUUCAAUUUAUACUCCCUCUAGUCCUUAUUAUAAGAAAAAACUGACUUUUUAGGUUCAUAGAAUAAUUAAUGUAUCUUAUUAUAAAUAUAGACUAGAUACAUCACUUAUACAAUGAACCAAAAAAGUUAAUUGUUUCUUAUAAUAAGGACCGGAGGAAGUAAAAUAUUACAAAAUAAUUGAUGAGGCCUUAAAAACACUGCUCAAUCGAGAUUGCCAACAAAGUUUGUGAUUCCGUGCGUGCAUGUGUGUGUCACUCUCAGCAAAACAUGGAACUCUUUCAUUCAUGAUCCCAACCAAAACAACUCUACUGACAACUAUUAACAACCUCUAUUUUUUUUUUUUGGUCCUAAUAACUUCAGUGUGAAGGAAGUAGUACGUGGCGACCUAAUGUAUUCUUAACACAUGUACCGAUACAUUAAGACCAUGAUGCUGCAAUUUCAAUUCCACACACGUCCUCUCCAUGCCCCACACUCCAACUGAUGCGGCAAUUUUUCCAUUUGUGUGUUUGGAUGAAAAGUUUAGGAGGAAAAGAGACGAGAGAGUUUACUUUUCAUUUAUAACAUACUGAUACUAGGAAAUAUUUUUAAAAAAGUUAACAUAUUAACAUGAUAAACGAUCAUAUGAUACUUCAAUCACACUUAAGUCAUUUAAAAAAAAAAACAUGUUAAAUAGUCCGUAAUUUAAUAAAGAAAAACAAAUAUUUUCAUCUCUUCUUCUCCUAAACUCUCGAUCCAAACAAACCCUCAAAAUAAGCAAAAUUGAUACCUCAAUUAUCCACGAUGUCCAAAGUGUGAAUUCUUCCAUACAAAUAUACAUGUCAACUCGAAACUUAUUACCCUCUCCCAUGAUAAUAUUAUAUAUUUUAAUCCACACUUUUCAUAUUCUUUUAAUUUAUAGUUUUUCAUUUCUUCUUCAAUAAGAAUUGUUUAUUGGGGAUUAGAUAGCUAAACUGAAAGAUUUAGAGCUGUCAGCUUUUAAAGGACUACAAAAAUCAUCAGUGAAUUCGUGAAAAGAUCAUAUUACCAUUUAUAGAUGUAUUAUUAUGCGAAACUUUAAGCAAAAUAUGCACACAAGAGAUCAUGUUGUUUAGGAUAGUUUAGAAUAGUUUCUUUUGAAAAGCAUUUUUUGUGAUUAUAGUUUUUUAAAACAAGUGAUUUUUAUUUUUUUUUCAAAGUGUUAAUUGUCCUAUUAUACGCUCACAAAAUUAACUUAUGAUUUUUUUAAACAACACUGCUAUAUAGUGCGAAUUUUUUCUCUUGAAAAAUCAAGAAUGAGCAUGUAUUUAUAUUGGUUUAAAGUCCGGCAUUUACGGAAUACAGGAUGUUGUGGUGUUAAUUUUUUUUUUUGUUGCUACUAGCCAAUUUAAUCGUGAGUUAAGCACUUCCCUUUUCUGAAACCUCUAAGAAAUUAACCUCUAAAUUAUUGUUAAAAUUGUGUUUUUUGUUUUCAAUCCGUAACAAACCCCCCUCUCUCUAUCUCCCUCUCUCUCUAAAUAUUAUGCCCAUAUGAGUUUUCUUUAACUAACGUAACUUGAGCGACGUUUAACUUUCCACUUAAGAUUAUUAUCUAAUUCGCUCGCACGCAAACAAGGAAGGUUAGCGGGUCUAAGAUGCAACAAUAACUUCCAUUCAGAUCUAAUCAAGAGAUAAAUCCCACAAAAGGCCAAAAUGUAGUCACUUAUUUAUUAGAGUUUGUUUGGUAAAACACAUAUUUGAGCGUAUGAUUAAAAAAACUUGUUUGAUAAUAGAUUGUUCUCACAAGUUUAUAACUUUUUUUCAUAAGCUAAUUUAUUUCAAGUAGUUUAUAACUCAUCACAUUUUAUCUCGAUUUUACCCAUACAAUCUUAAUUGAAAAAUAUAAAUAUUUAUUUAAUAUAUUUUUUUAUAUCAUUUCAUAUUUAUUAACUACUUUCCUUAAAAAAAAAAUAUAUUUAUUAACUAUUUCAAUCUUUAAUUUAAUCAAACACUUUAAAUUCAAUCUUAGCAUAUGUUUGAUUUUGCGGUGUAUAAAUUUGAUUUUGAUAUAAUUGAUUAUAGAAAUUGAUUUUGGUUAAAAAUGAUUUUGACUAAAUGUAAUGUGCGUUGGAUAAUUCAUUAAAAGUGAAUUAAACUUAAAAUUUGUAAAUAAAAAUUAGUUCAUAAGCUGAAAACACUGAUCAGAAGCAAAUAGAGUUCUGCUUCUGAAGUGAUUUCCAUAACUAAAUAGCAGCAAAUAAAACCGAGAGAGAGAAAGAAGAAGGAGACAAAGCAAUUAUAUAGGUUCCUUCCACAAACCGGAAGUCAGUCAUGUCCCCCUUGCACUUCCAAGGAGAGUUCACUAAAAUGUAAUAUCUGAUUACAACUACUCACUACUAAACUUAGCAAGAGACUUCAAAUGCUCAAGCACAACUACAAGAGACUUCCUAUGCUCCUUAACACAAUCAAGAGACUUCUAAUGCUCAAGCACAACUGCAAGAGACUUCCAAAUUCAAACAAAAUUACAAAGAAAAAUGUUUGAGGUUGAACACUUGAUAUACAAUCAGUGGUGUUCACAAUACAAAUCAGAUACAUACUCUUAAAACUAUAGAACUUCUAAGAUAUGAACUUUGAUAAGAAAUUAUAGGUGAACUUUUGAUGCAGAACAAUUUUGACAGAGUUUAGGCGCUUUCAAAUUGUUGUUGAGUCAUGCCAUUCUCUGAGUCUUCACUCCUUUAGAUAGAGGUGUAGAAAAGAGACGUUGUCACAUUGCCAGCACAUCAAAAUAGAGUCGUUUGAAGCUUUGAUCAAUCACCAAUGAUAUUUUGCCUGAUAUGGUUAUUGUCCUAUGAAGGAUCAAUUUCAAAUCCAUUCCAUGUAUGAAGGAACAUUGUUGCAGGCAUAGUUGUUAUCCUUGUCCUGUAGCAGAGACACAAACUGAGUAGUGGAGAUAAUGGUUGUACACUUCGUACAAUUGUACUUUGUCAAAGCUCUUCAAAGAACAAGCAUACAAUGCUUUCAAAUCCUUUCAAAAUAGUGGUUGCUUCACUCUUUCAGUCUUCUGCAAUGCUUAGACGAGAUUAAAUUCAUUAAACAGUCUUUGGAGCUUUAAGUCUUGCAUCUCCUAAUGAACUACAACUUAUGGUGAUCUUCAGCUUAUGAUGAGAUGCUUCUGAUGAACUUGCUUCUGAUGACGUCAUCACUUCAGGAGCACUUUUUGUCUUCAAGAGCACUUCUCUUCAGAUGCUUUAAGCUUCCUUUUUGUUGAUUCCUCUGCUCUCUUUUGUUCUUCUAGGACCUAAUAUUGAUUCCAAUUUUUUGUCUAUGGUCCUGUACACUUGAACAAAUAUUAGCAUAUCCAAUUGACAAUUUUUAAUACCUUGUUAUCAUCAAAACUCUCAAAGGAUAAUGUUAAACACAUUUUGUUCCAACAAAGCACUCUCACAUCACCAUUGUACAUAGAGCUUGAAGAUGAAGACUGACUGUUGUAGCUGUUUUUCCCAUACGUCCACCACCAUCAUUUCUGAACACGAAAGCUUGAAUAAUAACUAAUGAUUUUUGGAUUUUGAAUUGAAUCAAAAAAAUUAGGGUUUUAAGUUUUUUAAAUUGGAGAAGAACUUUGUCAUCAAUUCAUGGAAGAAAUCUUGCGGAUUUUGAACUCUAGGUGACAAAUUAUAACAUUAGGGUUCCAAAUUUAUAUAUUUGGGGAAGAAAGAACCGUUUAUGAGAAGAGACGUUGGUGAAAAAGAUACGUUGAGAAUUUUGCGAUUUUCUGUAAAUCAAUCAAUUUGGUCCUUGAUAAUUUUAUCAUUUUCGGCCAAAUAAGUUCCUGCUUGCGUGGCAUAUGACGUGGUAAACCUUGUAAGCGGUUAAUAGUACACAUCACCUCCGUUAACAGGCUAACUUAACAGAGGAACUGAUUUGAUUGAUAUUUUAAAAAUUUAAGAACUAAAUAGAUAUUUUGCAAAAAUUAAAGAUGAAUUUAGCUUAUUUUUGAAAAUUUAAGGACGAAAUUGGGGCAGUAGUACUUGAAUCGGUUUUACUUUACAACAACAAAAAUCGCAGAAUCAAUGAGGAGCUUGGAAUCAAUUAUGAUCCACACAGCACACACCUCGUCAUUUGAUAACUUCAAUCAAUACCCAACUGGCCCCACAUUCCCACCAAUGAAAACCUUUAUUAUAUAAUUUCAUCUUUGCCACUUUCUCUCUCCUCUGCAACUCAACAUCUUCUCUUCCGAAUCCGACAUCCUCGUAAAAAAAACACAAACUUGAGACCAACCCAUCUCAACAUUCGCUGUCAUACUGCCAAUUGUCACAAAAAUAAUAUACUCCUAUUACUAUAAGAAAGAAGAAGAAAAAAAAAAUGCCAUCUCAGAUCCUUCCCAUAACCAAUUUUCAACCACCAAAGAAGCCUCUUUUUUCUUCUUCUUCUUCUUCUUCUUCAGCUUCAACAAUGUUGCUUAAAGAUAUUGAUGACCCUUUAACUAGUCUUUUAAUCUCUUCUUCAUUCAAAGACAAUAACAACGCGAUCAUGUCCGUUAAACCUCUUCUAUCAAAGGCUUCAAGCUUCAACAACUCAAUUGGUAGUGGUGGUGGUGGUGGUGUUUCUUGUUUCUAUCAGAAAAGACGAAGGCGUGCUGCUAGUGAUGAUUCAUUAUCUUGUGUUUCUAAUGGAAGUUCUGAGAGAUCUUCUUUUGGUCGUGAUGUUAGACAUGUUGCUUCUGAAACUUUUCUUGUCACUCGUCUUGCAUUGAAGAUGUUGACAUAUCUUGGGUAUGAAACAUAUUCUGUUAUCUAUCUUUGUGAUCUCAAUUUGUUGUUAUGUCUUUCUUUAAACAAAAAUACUCGGUAUUUGAUCCGAUGACUGACUGAUCCGAGGGAUCAAUCACACCGUCCACCAACAGGGCCUCAGUUAAAGGCGACUAGUUCAUGAAAAUUGGCAUCUGGAGGAUUCAAACUUGAGACCUUGAGAGGAGCAUACUCCAAGGUCUCUCAAACAUGUACCACCAGGGUGCCUUUCUGUAUGUAUUAUAUAUCUAAUUGGAUCGACUUAUUUGAGUUUAUCAUUUGGCAUAAACACUUGUGAGACCAUUUGAAAGAACACAUAAAAACAAUUUAAGUUAUGACUUUUUCACAAGUUGGUUUCAACUUAUUUGUAUAAGCUCUCCACGAUAGCUAAUGAAAACAACAUAUUAGAUAGGCGCUUAAUUAAGUUGUUUAUCCACAUAGAGUCUAUAUGUCAAUAGAUUCAAACUUAUUCAUUUUGUAUAUGAGAGAAAACUUGAGCCUCAUGUUUAUGCAUUUUUUGAGUUGUGAGGAGAUUUUACUUUUCAGUUGAUAUGUUAUCUCUAAUGCUGACUGAUGGUGUGUUUGGAAGAUUUUGUUGUGUCAAUUUCUAUACUUAGGUGUUUUGGAUUGUACUAGUAAGAUUGUGGAAUUAUGAGAAAAUAAAUAUUUGAGCUACAUCUUUCUUUAUGUAGUAGAAAAGAAGAUCUAAGCUAUCAGCUAGUGUCUUUAACAUUUACGCAUCAUUGUGUAUCUGUUCCAUUCUUAGGGAAUAUAAUAUCGGUUACUGGUAGAAGACAAGUCGGACAUCGUGAAAACUAUUGAGUACAAUGUUAGGAUGUUUAAUCAUGCGCCUUGUGUUUAAGGGGUGUUUGGGUUAACAUCUUAAUUAAGUUCUUCAAUUAACACUUAUCACAUGAGAGCUUAUGGAUAAGUUGUUUCUUCAAAUUGCUCUCAAUAAAGAGGAACACCAGUUAAGACUCAUAUUGGUUGUGGAUUCUUGCAUUUUGAUGUUAUGUUAAAAAUUGUUGUGAUGUUUGUUUGUUUAUUUUCCACGAAUAUCAUCCCAUAUCCCAAUUAUGGAUGCUUUCUAAUCACUUAUUUCUAUUCAGGGUAGGCUAUAAAUGGAUUACGCAAUUCCUUGCUCUUGGAUGUUAUGCUCUACUGCUUUUACCAGGCUUUAUUCAAGGUUUGAAUUCAGUGAUCUAUGGGAUAACUAUCAUGUAUAGUAAUCAUAUGUUUACAAAUUGUGAUUUGAAAAGAUUAGCAUCUCACAUCAAUGGUCUGUUGGAGAAAUAAGUAUUUUCCUUCUGUUUUGUAGUUGGAUAUCAAUAUUUCUUCUCUAGUCAGAUACACAGAAGUAUAGUUUAUGGAGAUAAACCACGAAAUAGGUAUGCUUUAUUUAUAUUUUAACUCUGCAUUCAUAGUAAUAAGUACUGUAAUUUUGAUUAAUAGUAUAUUUCCUUUGCAGGCUUGACUUGUUUUUGCCUAAAAAUAGCGACGGGCCAAAACCAGUUGUUGCUUUCAUUACUGGUGGAGCCUGGAUUAUUGGGUAUGUGAUGUCCAUAUUUUUUUCCUUGUCGAAUUUGAUAUUUACCAUACGCUACUAGUUUCAUUUUUGAACGGAUUCAUGUGUUUGUGUGUCUAGAGACAUACGCACACACAUUCACUUUCUCCACAUGUAAAGUCACUUCAGUCCUUACAAGUUUUGAAGUAUUUGUAUUUGUGCAGUUACAAAGCAUGGGGUUCUCUUUUAGGUCAACAGCUUUCGGAGAGAGAUAUCAUUGUAGCAUGCAUAGAUUACAGGUGAUCUUUUAAUUUGUUUUCCCAUUUUUGCAGUAGUAGUUUGCUCUGGCUAAUAGAUUCAAUUUAAUAGUAUUAAAGUUGAUAUGGACACAAAUGCUUACUAUUCUUCUGUUCACGAGCUCUAUUUUAACCGCAUUAUCAUUGUGCUAUCUCUUCUCUGUUGUUUUUAUUUCUGCUUUAGUCCCGAUCCACCUGUUUUUAGGUUGCACAGAAAAAGGAGAACUCGUUGAUAGCUCUUUUUGUUUCAAAAAUUUCUGUUUAGAAAUAUCAAAUAUGGUUAUAUGAUUAGGAUAGUCUUAGGGGUUAAUAUACUUUUGUUCAGGUAAUUUUCACAUGAUAUUGAUAUGCCAAGCUUUAGUACUUUUCUUAAACCUGAGCAUCAAAUAGUUGUGUAUUUGAGGGUCAUUUAUUACAAAGGAAAUAAUUGGUGUUUGCUCAGUGUGAUGAAAUCUCUACCCAUAUCUUUUGUAUAUAUGGUUCCGAUUUGCUGUAAUUUAACAACCCGACCAAUUGUGACCACUGACUACCAUAUUGUAGUUUGAGAGAUCAUCAGUCACAACUGCAUCGUGAUUGUGGCUUCAAUGGCUGCAGUUUGUGACAUCCCUAAAUUUAUGUAGAGAAAAAUAUAGGAAUAUACGGAGUUAAUUAAAGACAGGAACAAAUGACUCAAUUUGGGCUUAAUGCUUCUAAGCAAAAGUACGGAGAAGAAAAAGCGUAACUAUGAAGGACUAUAUUCAAGUGAAAGAAAUUAGGGAAAAAGAAGGGAGGACUAAGGUUCAAAGGAGAACUCCAGUACACUCCCCUUGAAAUUGAGGAUGAAUAAGACUUAUUUCCUUGAAAAGUGACAUCUGUGGAAAAAAGAAACAAUGAAUUAAUGAUUUGAAUGGUAGUUGUUAUUUAUUUCUCUUGUUGUCAAGAGCUUAACCUAGGAAACACAUUUGAUAUCUCACUGAGAUCAAGCUCAUUACAAUGUGGUGAACACGAGCAAAGGCUACAGAGAUUACAGGCACUGAAUAAUAGAAGAAAAGGAAGAUGUCAUAAGUUGAACACGAUUUUCAUUACCAAGACACGAGAGGGCAACCUUUAUUAAAAUAGGCAUUACUUUUAAGUUUUAACAGCUUCCCCUUAUCACGAACUCGGAAUGGACACUGGACUUGUAGAGCUCCUAUAAUUUUAAGUAGAUAACAAUUCUUUCUUUUGUCAAUGCAAUUUUGUUGAGAAGUACUAUCAGCACAUGUGAGUUCAUGUACAAUGUCAUAUUGCUUUAUAGUGAUAAAGAGAAGGUUUGGUUGACAUACUCCUAACCAUUCAGAAAAAUACGUUUAACAGAUUUGCUAAGUUAUGUCUGAACCGUAUGAUAGAAUUGAACAAGCAGCUAGUACACUUCUAACUUGUCUAUUAUCAAGGAAAACUAUGUUACUUGAGUACAAUUAUUCAAUGAAUCAAACAAAUCAUUUUGUGCAUAAAUAUUUGAAAUUGAUACAACAUCGCUGGUCUUACAGUUGUCCGAUAGAAUUUUCCCUUCAAAAGAGUGUACUCAAGUAACCACGCUUGUUAGAAUUUUCCCUCUCCAAAAUACUAGAGACAAAAACACGCUUGUUAGCAAAGUGAAAAGAGUGUGUUACUUGCAUAUAGCUUCUUCAUAUUACAGUCUCAUCAAACAUGUCUUUGUGUGCAGAAAUUUUCCUCAAGCAACCAUCAGUGAUAUGAUAGAUGAUGCUUCGCAGGGUAUCUCAUUUAUAUGCAACAACAUUGCAGAAUAUGGAGGUGACCCUAACAGGUAUAUAUAAUCAUCCUCUCAUUACAUGGUGCUCUUUUUUCCUUUUCUCUAAAGGUAAUGGAUUCUCUUGAUCAUCGGUGAUCACUUUAUCAUGUUUUUUCAUGUACGCAGAAUUUACCUAAUGGGGCAGUCAGCUGGGGCACAUAUUGCAGCGUGUACAAUGGUGGAACAGGCAAUCAAAGAGGCUGGUGAAGGAGAGAGUACUUCUUGGAGUCUUUCCCAGAUUAAGGCUUAUUUUGGUUUAUCUGGAGGGUAUGCAGCCUUAUCAUUUUUUUGUGUUAAAUGCAAAUUUUGACUGUGUUAUGUGACAAAGCAUUUGAUUUAGUGACACAUUGGGGGUCCUUAUACAGUAAAUGAAACCAACGAUAGUAUAUGCUCGUCGUUCUAUUUGGAUAAACGACUUAGUUAAGUGCUUAUAGCAUAAAUAUUUAUCAUAUAAAUGCUUAUGUACAAGUUAUUUCUAUAACAAAAGAUAAAAUAAAGUCAAAAUGUUGUCAUCUAAGUUAUAAGCUGUUUUCAAGUUAUCGUAUAGAGCUUAUGAAAUUAAGCUGAAAAUAACUUAAAUAAAUAAGCUCAAAUCAGAUGGACAUGCCAUAAGUUGUUUCUAUAAGUUCUCCCAAACAGUCUCAACUGUUUAUGCCAGCAGAGAAGCUCAAAUAAGUCAAUCCAAACAGGCUCUAAGUCCAUCUUUGCAUGCCUUAAGUCCAUCAUUGCAUGAUGGUCUUAAUCUUAAAUGUAUAAAAAAGAUAUGGAAUAACUACAGAUUCUUCCAGUUUUUGUUUAAUAAUGAUUAUUGAUUUCUCACUUAAAUUGAAGUAUUUACUUGUUUUUUUUUCUGCUUACCUCAAAUCAGGUAUAAUUUGUUUAACCUAGUAGACCACUUCCAUAGUAGAGGCCUUUAUCGUUCCCUCUUUUUAAGGUACACUCUAAAUCUAUCUUAAAGUGAGUUAAUGUUUAGUUAAUAUAUGAUUUUCUGCUUCUUUUGCUGUGUUAAACUUUAAAAUGACAGAUUCUAUCUAUUACAGCAUAAUGGAAGGGGAGGAAUCACUGCGGCGGUUUUCUCCUGAAGUAAUGGUUCAAGAUCCAAACUUUGGAAAUGCUGUUUCUCUACUACCUCCUAUAGUUCUUUUUCAUGGCACCGGAGAUUAUUCUAUUCCGUCAGAUCAAAGGUUCGAGCCUCUUUCAUGAGGUUUUCAAAUUAUGUACUGACAGUAGAAAAAAAUCAGUUUUUAUAGAUUGUUCAAUUAAUGUGUCAUGUUUUUAAAUUUUGAUGAAGCACAGACACCUCUGAGAUUACGUACGUCUCUGUGUCCAACACCUGUAACAUAUUUAACAACUUUGACAACUCAGACAAGUAUCUAAAAAAACUUUUUUUCUUUGCUACGAUACACCUUGGACUCCUUAGACAUAUCUCAGACACACCUAUAACUCUAAUUUAAUUAUAAUAAAUGUGUAAUACUGUCAAUGUUGGAUGUUGCAACUCAGACUAGAUGAGAUAGGAUUAGAAAUGAAAAUGUUAGAGAGUUGGGGUAGCACCUAUAGUAGAAAAGAUGGAGGAAAGUUGGCUUAGGUGGUUUGGGCAUAUAGAGAAAAGACCAUUGGAUUCUGUAGUAAGGAGAGUAGAUUAGAUGGAGGAUAGUCAUAUCACUAGAGGUAGAGGAAGACCUAGAAAAACUAAAAGAGAAACUAAUAGGAAAGACUUGGAGAUAAAUGAGUCGGACCAAAAUUUUGUUUAUGAUAGAACAUUAUGGUGUAAUUUGAUCCAUGUAGCCGACUCCACUUAGUUUUUGAGUGUCGGUGUCCUAUGUUUUUGACAUUAGUAGUGUCAACGUGUCUGUUUGAUAUCAGGUGUGCGUGGCAAUAUGUUUUGCUGAGAUAUACAUAGGGAGUGUUAAUUGUUUUAAGCAAUGCAAAGCUUCAUGUUAUCGUUGAAAUACUUCACAAGAAGUUACCAACCUAAUUGAAUACAAGAAGGAUUCAAGUACAAAUUCAACUUGUGUGCUAAUUUUGGGAACAAACUGUUGAACCUGUGUGUUUUUUGAGAUAGGUUCAAAUUAGUUCUGUGCAAAUUUUUCUUUUAAAUGUGUGCGCUUUAAGACUACUUAACCCUUUAAAUUUGGGAGUCAGUAAGUGUACAUACAACUUUAAGACAGGGUAUUCAAUUUGUGUGGUGAAUUUGAACUGUGAUUUGAAGUACAAUUAUUUUGCUUCUUUUUCUAAAUUGAAGCAUUUUAUUUAAAAAAAAUUAUUUAUUUUUCUUCAGAUUUUGGACUAUGAUUAAUAUUUUGUUUUCUGCAGUGUAUCAUUUGCUGACACUCUUAAAAGAUUUGGAGUUAAAGCAGAAUCAAUUUUAUAUGAAGGGAAGACUCAUACAGAUGUGUUUCUACAGGUAAUUCACCACUUUGCAUUUCCCAUCUGAACUCACAUGAGCUUGAUCUUUAUUACUUAAAAUCAAAGGCUUGAUCGAUUUACUCAAUCAGUGUAUGAAGAUCAAAUGUAUUAUCUAACUGUAUCACUCACAUUACCUCUCUGAACUAUCUUAUUUUUCGCAUUUUCACUGCUGUCAAAAAUUUGUUAGUUAAUGUAGCAUACAGAUAAUGUUUCUCUUUAAGGGUGGUGUUUGAUAAUUUUUCUGGGAAAAAACUUCUCAUGGAUGAUCAACAUUAGUAACCAUAUAUUUCAAAUGCCUAUGCCUUUCAGGAUCCUAUGAGGGGUGGAGAUGAUGACAUGUUUGAUGAUUUAGUAGCAUAUAUUCAUGCUGGCGAUGCCGAGGCCCUUUCUAGAGAUGCAACAGCUCCUCCAAGGAAACGGCUUGUACCAGAAUUCAUGUUAAAAUUGGCUCAUACAGUCAGUCCUUUCUAGCCAACAAACGUAGUUGAUUUUAUUCAUUUUUGUUUUGUACAUAACCAUUAUUGUUGUGGCUUGCUAGAUUACUUAUCAACUUGGUAGGUUUAGAAGACUCUCCAUUAGUAUUUGAGGAUUCAACAUUUCACACUACUGUUAUUUCUGGAAACACCAAUAGGAACAUAGUCGUUAGGUAUAGUGAAUGAAAAGUUGUAACAACUUAGGUUUAGGAUUCUUCUGUAAGACUGUAACACUUAUCAUCUGUAUUUUGAUUUCAAUCUGUUCAACCUUGCUUCCAUUUGUUAAAAAUGUCCCAACAUAUUGUAAUGGUGAUUUUUUAUUUUGUUGAUCAAUUAUAUUAUGGUGAUAUUUGAUUCCACAUGAUCUAGUAAAGAGUUGUGGGAAUAUGUGACCAAUCCAUUUAUGUCAAAAACUUAGCUUGAAGUUUCUAAUGAAACUCUGAUUUUGUAUUUUUUAUUUUAAUUAUUAUAUUUAAAUUCAAAAUAUUUGAAGUUGUUUAGAUUUGAUUUGAUUUAAAAUUUGUAAAAAAAAAUUGAUUUAAAAUUUGAAUUAGGGUUAGAUCAAAUUUGAAAUUAAGAUUAAAUUCAAGUAUUUAAUUAGUUAAAUAAUGAUAAAUUUAUAAAUAAAAAAAGCGACGGGUUCAAGGUAAUUACGGGUUCAAGGUAAUUAUAAUAUGACCGACAUUGAACUGAUAAAAUUAUAAAUUAAUUUGGGGAAAAUUGCUCUAUAAAGAGCAAGGUAAUUAAAAUCUGAUUGGGCAUUGAACCCGUAGUUACGAAUUCAAGGUUCAAACGUUGAAUUGGGGUUCAGUCGGGGUUCGAUUGGUAAUAGAUAAAUGUAGGAUUUUUAUAAUAAGCAAAAAUAUUAUAUAUAUAUAUAUAUAUAUAUAUAUAUAUAUAUAUAUAUAUAUAUAUAGAUGACAUAUCAUAUGAGAAUGACUUUGUUAUAUGAAAAUGAUGAGAAUGAAUAUGAUCCAUUAGAUUAAAAAUUAAUGAUUGAGAUUAAACCUCACUUAAUGUACCAUUAUCAUGUGCCAUUUUCAUUCUCAUUCUACUUUCUCUCACCAAAUUCCUUUACUGUUCGUCUUCUCUUUCUCGGCCAUCUCUCUCCGGCGACCAACUCUCCUCCGGUGGCCAUCUCUCACGGCAGCAACUUCAUCUUCCCUCACCGGCGCCACCUUCCACCAUUGAUUCCUUUCAUUCAGCCUUUCACCAUUUACAUCAAGUCUUCUUCCUUCUAAAGCAGUUAUUUCUUCUUCCCCACACCAUCAAUGAACUUCUCCGACGACCCCAACCUCCCCGGCGCGAAGCCUGCCAUCACCACCUUCAACCAUCGGUUCGCGGUCGGAAACCCGCCGCCGCCACCUUCCUGCACAUCUUGGCUGUCGGAAACCCAUAAAAGAAAAAGAAACCACUGAUCAAUUUCACCCACUUAGUGUAACUCACCAAAUCUGUAUUUUAAAUUGGCCCCUUAAAAUUGCUUUAGCUUUUCUUUCACCAAAUUAAUUAAAAUUUUAUGCCAAUUUUGGAUUGAAAAAGGAACAAACAAUCAAUUACUCCCCGGUACAAAUUCUGCUAUAUGAUAAGGACAGUGUGACCGUGUUUCUGGUUUAUUGUCAAUUGAACAUAUUUACAAUAAAAAAGAUGAAGGCAAAGAAGCAUUAUUUCAGGUUUAUGCUCAAUUAAAAGAUUUGGAUCUCAUUGUUUAUGUUAAUGGUGGUGAAGAAUGAUGUCAACAUGAUGGCCGUGGGUGUACAGAUGAAAGUGGCAUUGUUGAAUGGUGGUGGGAAAAUGAACAAAGAAAUGAGUUAAUGAGAAUUGAUAGAAUAGGAUGAGACACAUGUGAAGUUUUUAAUUUAGACCAUUAAUUUUUGAUCUAAAGGUUGAUAAGUGUUCUCACCAUUCUCACAUAAUUAACUCAUUCUCACUAGAUAUGGUCUCUAUAUAUAUAUAUAUAUAUAUAUAUAUAUUUCACAUUAUUAUUAAACUUCACUUAAAAAUUUAAGAAAUUAUAUAAAAUAAAAAAACUUUAAUAACAAAUUUGAAUAAAAAUACUUAUUAAAAAGUACAUUAUAUCUUGUCAACAAAAAUAAGUAAAUUAUAUAUUAAUGAAUUAUUGUUAUUUAUUUAGUUUCUUAUUAUCCAUUUACUUCUACACAAUGGUAUCUACUUUUGUUAAAUGAGUUUUGCUUCCACUCACUAUUUGAAGAUAAAAAAAAUAAAAUAAAAAACUCACUAUUUUUUUAUUGCUUAAAUUUCUAAUACACAUGUAAAACUACUGUAUAGUAGUAGCAAUAAAAGAGUAAAAGAACUUACAUUACUAAUACACAUAUAAAACUACUGUAGCCUUGAUUUUCAAGUCAUGAUUGCUUAAAUAUAUAUUUUUCAUUACUCUGUCUUUUCGAAUUCAACGUUUCUUACAAUUUCAUUGACAAAAGCUUCUUAAAAAAAAUAUUAUUCACAAAAAUCAAUAUCUGGUCCCUUAAAAAUCCAAUUAAAACUAUUUUAAUAUGAAGAAGCCAAGCUCCUCAGGCUAGUUUCACACCUCAUAUCUAUAUCUAAGCAUAAAUAUUUUUCAUAAUUCUAGGAACAACUAUAAACUGAAUUAUUCUAAGAACCUAAAAAAUUAAAUAUUAAAUCAAACAUUAUGAUUCAUGUCCAGAACUGGAAUGACUGCCAUGAAAUGUGCAGCAUAUUCCCUGUUUGACCUCAAAAUCUUAAGGACAAUAGUUGCAUCCACAACUCUUCAAAAACCAAAAGAUAUGAAAUAUAAACCUCAGAUAAAUUGUGACAUUAAACUAAUUUAUCUCAAUUACCCCAGUUGAUAUUGGGUUGUAACAUUACUGAUUGGUGGUUUUUUAGCCUAGUGUCAUUUCUUGCCAAGAGCAACACCAUGCUUCUUGAUUAUCUCUUCUGCUUGCAGUGCAGAUCUCAGCCAUGGUCUGAAAGAAAAUAGUAAGAAUAAUGAGUUAAGUCAUCUAGUGUAAGACUCAACAUAUGAUGUUGUUAUGAGAAGCGUACCGUGUUCCUCAAGUUGUAUCCCAUAGUCAAUUCAACAAAGGAGCUUCCUAUGCGGGAUAAAUAACAGUACGGAAGAUCAUAUUUCAAUAAAACUGUUGCACUGGAUGUCAACAUGCCUGCUACUAUAUCUUCUAAUAUAAGGGCAAUCUUACUUAAAUCCUCACUUUGCAGAGGGAUUUUUGUAAGAAUUGCUUUAUAAGCAAAUGACUCAUUCACAACUACCUACAAAGUUAGCAUAGAAAAGAAAGUUGUAAGUUGUCAAAAGAUUUGUAAGAAUUGCUGAAAACUGAAAUCUAUAACAGAUGCAUUUUAAUCAAAGAUUCAAACAUACUAGCCAAAGCAAGUCUCAGUUAUGUGCUACACUGCUGCAAGUCAAAACAGAGAUUUUCCUUAGGAUUGGUAUGGGGAGUCGAGAUCGUAAAAUGUGAGAAUAUGACACUGAUCUUAAAUUAGAUUAAAACUUCUAAAUUGAACCAAUCAUCACUUCUAAAUUAACAAACUUUGUUUAUGUCUUGAUGCAAUGAAUUUUGGGAGAACAUGUGUUUCAAAUUACACAUCAAAUAUAUAAAAAAAAAAAUGAGGGGCAAAUAUUCGAAUUCGAUGAACACGAUCAACCUAUUUAACAAUAUCAAUAUUGUCAAUUGAGUUAAGCCUUGCCCGUUACUGUAAAAACUUGAAAGUAUUGUUAUAUACUUCAUGUGCAACCAUUAAAAAAGAAAAAAAAAAUGGAAAAUGUUACAUGAACACCCUUUAUUUCUACACCCCAUUGUACACCCCAUGUAUUAGGGAUAUUUUGAUAAGUUCAUCUCACAACCACACUUUAUCUUCUAUUUGUGCGGGGUCCAAGUUGCCACGUGUCAGAAUUUUGUGUGGGUGUAAAGGGUGUAUUGCCACAUGGGGUGGUACAUGUAUCAUUAUUCAAAAAAAAUUAAGCAAACUUUGUGCAAUGCAAAACCACACGUGUACUAGUCUUAUAGCUCAAGCAUGCUUAGUGGAACAAAUUAUGAGGUAGUCUAAGUGCAUCAAAAUUUUGUCUGCCCAACUUUUUCUAUGUUCACACUAUAUUUUUCAGCUCACCUACUUCUUUGCUAUGUCGAUAGAAUAAGAUAUGCUUCAACCUGAAGAAGAAAGCAUAAGGUCUCUCUCCUAAAACUGUGAGAAAGAGUUUAUUUAUAAACUUCUCUUCUCAAAUUUAUUUCUCAAAUUUAUUUAUAUACACAUUCAUCGUAAAAAAAUUACAUUCUAAAUCAAUUAUAACCGUUAAAUCAUUAUAAACGUUUGACUUUUAUCAUAACCACUUCUAAAGUCAUACAUAUUUUAAUAUAGAUGGUGCAUGAAAAUAUAAAGCUCCUUCUUAAACUCGUUCCGGGGUUUCAACUCAACUACUUGAACAUGAGACUAUUUAUAGUUUAUCUGAAUUUAACACACAAAUGUAAAUAACUAUUAUGUUCAAAAAUAAUCUUUAAUACGAAAUGUCAAAUGUUACAUAUACAACAAAAACACUUAUCUAUCUAAUAGAGACUUAUUCAGCAAGUACUUAAGUUAUUGAAAUGUUGUAUCCAUAUUUUUGAUACUGGCACACUAAGGUAUACACAUUUUGUUCUAUCCAAGGAACAUGCCUAUCAAAGGCUACUCAAGGGAUACUCUUUGUGAACCUUCUACCAUAAACAUUAUCAUUGUAGAUUGAAUAUCAUAAUGUCACAACCACCCCACUAGGGCUAAUAUCAUAUUCAUGAGUCAUGCCCCUUUUUCACUUUACUACUACUAUAUAACUAUGGAACUUGCUCCUUCUAAUUCAAUGUGCCAUAUACAAACUAGUCAGUGAUUCAAACACAUAUAUUAUGAGAUUUUCAAAACCAAUAGUGAUGGAGUUCAAGGUUAGAACUUUCCUUGCAACAGUAGUGAUGUUUCUGUUGGCAUCAAGUGUGUUCAUUUUGGAAAGUGAAGCAGGUGGAGAAUGUGGAAGGACACCAAUUGGGUCAGCAGCUGCUAGUCUAAGUCCAUGUUUGGGUGCUGUACGUAAUGUUAGGGCAAAAGUUCCACCAGUUUGUUGUGCUAGAGUUGGUGCUUUGCUUAGAACUUCUCCAAGAUGUCUUUGUUCAGUUCUUUUGUCACCUCUUGCAAAACAAGCUAAGAUUAAUCCUGCUAUUGCUAUCACUGUUCCUAAGAGAUGCAACAUUAGGAACCGACCUGCUGGAAAGAAAUGAGGAAGUAAGUAACAAUUAAUCAUUAAUAGCUUGUUGAACUUAAAUAAUAUUUAAUAAUCAUAUUAUAUUUAGUGUGUUUGAUUACGCGUUUACACAUUCCUUAAUGUGCGUUCAAUAUGAAGCUUAGCUACUACUAGUUGUAACUUGUGCCGUGAGCAGCCUUGGAAUGUGAAAAUGGCGAACUCAUCGUAGUUCCAAAGAGACACUUCGUACAUUUUUUAGUGCACACUUGAAAUAGUAAGACGCAAGGUCAAAGUAAAGCCGAUAGUUGCAACUUGCAGCGUCGACAUUGCAAAUUUACCUUAGUUCUGAAAACACUUUAACCUUUCAUUGAUUCAUAUUUUUGGUAGACUAGAAUUGAGAAUUUGUAAAACUAAAAUAGGAAACAUAUUUACACUUUAACCUUGUUUUUUUUCCUUCUUUACAGGGUACACACUUCCUUGAAACCUAAGCAGGAAAAUAAUACAAUACAUGUGAUAUGCAGUAUUUAACAGAUUAGAGAGCUAAAUAAAUUAUGUAACAUGGCAUUUUCUACUUGGAGAGUGGCAUGUGUCAGCCUGUAGCAUUUUGUAUUACUCAGUGUAUUGUUUAUUACAGAAGCAAGCAAAUACAAAAGAAACUGAAGACAUUACUUAAAGCACAAGUUACAU
This 28200-nucleotide long non-coding RNA is filed under the name Medicago truncatula (barrel medic). Its description in RNAcentral is "long non-coding RNA (MTRU_LNC006405)". Lineage: Eukaryota; Viridiplantae; Streptophyta; Magnoliopsida; Fabales; Fabaceae. The record is from RNAcentral.